Molecule: ribosomal RNA, 1309 nt
Filed under: activated sludge metagenome
Description: bacterial LSU rRNA
Rfam family: Bacterial large subunit ribosomal RNA
Source: RNAcentral
UGGAGGACCGAACCGGUAAACGUUGAAAAGUUUUCGGAUGACCUGUGGGUAGGGGUGAAAGGCCAAUCAAACUUGGAGAUAGCUCGUACUCCCCGAAAUGCAUUUAGGUGCAGCGUCGGGUUGAGGUGUCAUGGAGGUAGAGCUACCAAUAGGGCUAGGGGGCUUCACCGCCUACCAACCCCUGAUGAACUCCGAAUGCCAUGACAUCAUACCGGCAGUGAGGCUACGGGUGCUAAGGUCCGUAGCCGAGAGGGGAACAACCCAGACCAACAGCUAAGGUCCCCAAAUAGAUAUUAAGUUGAUUUUAACGAUGUGAGGAUGCAGUGACAGCUAGGAUGUUUGCUUGGAAGCAGCAAUUCAUUUAAAGAGUGCGUAACAGCUCACUAGUCGAGCGUUCUUGCGCGGAAAAUAAUCGGGCAUCAAAUAUCUUACCGAAGCUUUGGAUACCAGUCUAGGACUGGUGGUGGUAGGGGAGCAUUCUAAACUGCAGUGAAGGUGUGUCGUGAGAUGCGCUGGAGUGUUUAGAAAAGCAAAUGUAGGAAUGAGUAACGAUAAAAUAGGUGAGAAACCUAUUCGCCGUAAGACUAAGGAUUCCGGGAUCUAUGUUAAUCAGAACCGGGUUAGUCGGGGCCUAAGGUGUAGCCGAAGGGCGAAGCCGAUGGGAAACAGGUUAAUAUUCCUGUACAUGUAUCAGCUGUGAUGGGGUGACGAAGGAGCGUAAGGUUCGCCCACUGACGGAAUAGUGGGUUGAAGGGAGAAGGCGUUGAAGAUAUAGGCAAAUCCGUAUCUGAGCUGAGACCUGAUAGUACACAAGUCCCUUGGGAUGAGUGAUAGUGACUGUAAGCAUACUUCCAAGAAAAACCUCUAAACUUCAGGCUGACACAUCCCGUACCGUAAACCGACACAGGUAGUCGAGGAGAGUAUCCUAAGGCGCUCGAGUGAUCCGUGGCUAAGGAACUAGGCAAAAUGGUCUCGUAACUUCGGGAGAAGAGACUCCCCUCGUGAGAGGGGACGCAGUGAAGAGGCCCAGGCGACUGUUUAACAAAAACACAGGACUCUGCAAAAUCGUAAGAUGAAGUAUAGGGUCUGACACCUGCCCGGUGCUGGAAGGUUAAGGAAGGGGGUUAGUGCGUAAGUGCGAAGCUCUUAACUGAAGCCCCAGUAAACGGCGGCCGUAACUAUAACGGUCCUAAGGUAGCGAAAUUCCUUGUCGGGUAAGUUCCGACCUGCACGAAUGGUGUAACGAUCUGGGCGCUGUCUCAGCCACGAGCUCGGUGAAAUUGAAGUAUCGGUGAAGAUGCCGAUUACC